ACCUGCGGAAGGAUCAUUAAAAGAAAUUGGUUAUACAUUUCAUGUAUCAACUGUUUAAACCCAUUCUGUGUACCUUGCCUGUUGCUUCCAUGGAGCCUGACUUUGGUCACUCUUGUGAUGUAAAUCCCAAGGGAGUCCCCAUGGAAGGUCAUCAAUAAAACUCAUGUAUCCAAUGUCUUCUGUCUGAACUGUUUAUAACAAUUGUUAAAACUUUCAACAACGGAUCUCUUGGUUCUCGCAUCGAUGAAGAACGCAGCGAAAUGCGAUAAGUAGUGUGAAUUGCAGAAUUCAGUGAAUCAUCGAAUCUUUGAACGCACAUUGCGCCUCCUGGUAUUCCGGGAGGCAUGCCUGUUCGAGCGUCAUUAAAUACCUCUCAAGCACCAUUGCUUGGUCAUGGAAGAUGAGUAUGCUUGCAUUCUCCCUUCUGAAAUUCAAAGGCGGAUCAUCUCAUAUUCCCUGGCGUAGUAAGUGUUUAUCUUUCGCUUGGAGUGUCUGACAGUCUUGCCAUCGACCCCCAUUAUUUCAAGGUUGACCUCGGAUCAGGUAGGG
RNAcentral lists this ribosomal RNA (549 nucleotides) under uncultured Wilcoxina. Its description in RNAcentral is "eukaryotic LSU rRNA". The stretch from base 209 to 362 matches the Rfam family "5.8S ribosomal RNA". The record is from RNAcentral. Lineage: Eukaryota; Fungi; Ascomycota; Pezizomycetes; Pezizales; Pyronemataceae.